This 468-nucleotide ribosomal RNA is filed under the name uncultured bacterium. Its description in RNAcentral is "partial 16S ribosomal RNA". It matches the Rfam family "Bacterial small subunit ribosomal RNA", at positions 28 to 507 of the family's 1533-position model. The record is from RNAcentral.
GACGAACGCUGGCGGCGUGCUUAACACAUGCAAGUCGAACGGAAAGGCCCUGCUUUUGUGGGGUGCUCGAGUGGCGAACGGGUGAGUAACACGUGAGUAACCUGCCCUUGACUUUGGGAUAACUUCAGGAAACUGGGGCUAAUACCGGAUAGGAGCUCCUGCUGCAUGGUGGGGGGUGGAAAGUUUCGGCGGUUGGGGAUGGACUCGCGGCUUAUCAGCUUGUUGGUGGGGUAGUGGCUUACCAAGGCUUUGACGGGUAGCCGGCCUGAGAGGGUGACCGGCCACAUUGGGACUGAGAGAGGGCCCAGACUCCUACGGGAGGCAGCAGUGGGGAACAUUGCGCAAUGGGCGGAAGCCUGAUGCAGCAACGCCGCGUGCGGGAUGACGGCCUUCGGGUUGUAAACCGCUUUCGCCUGUGACGAAGAGUGAGUGACGGUAAUGGGUAAAGAAGCACCGGCUAACUACGUG